Molecule: unclassified non-coding RNA, 341 nt
Filed under: soil metagenome
Description: partial contains 5.8S ribosomal RNA, internal transcribed spacer 2, and large subunit ribosomal RNA
Rfam family: 5.8S ribosomal RNA (bases 1-120)
Source: RNAcentral
GAUGAAGAACGCAGCGAAAUGCGAUAAGUAGCGUGAAUUGCAGAAUUCAGUGAAUCAUCGAAUCUUUGAACGCACAUUGCGCCCUUUGGUAUUCCAAAGGGCAUGCCUGUUCGAGCGUCAUUUGUACCCUCAAGCUUUGCUUGGUGUUGGGCGUCUUGUCUCUAGCUUUGCUGGAGACUCGCCUUAAAGUAAUUGGCAGCCGGCCUACUGGUUUCGGAGCGCAGCACAAGUCGCACUCUCUAUCAGCAAAGGUCUAGCAUCCAUUAAGCCUUUUUUUCAACUUUUGACCUCGGAUCAGGUAGGGAUACCCGCUGAACUUAAGCAUAUCAAUAAGCGGAGGA